AUUGAACGCUGGCGGCAGGCCUAACACAUGCAAGUCGAGCGGAUGAAGGGAGCUUGCUCCUGGAUUCAGCGGCGGACGGGUGAGUAAUGCCUAGGAAUCUGCCUGGUAGUGGGGGAUAACGUCCGGAAACGGGCGCUAAUACCGCAUACGUCCUGAGGGAGAAAGUGGGGGAUCUUCGGACCUCACGCUAUCAGAUGAGCCUAGGUCGGAUUAGCUAGUUGGUGGGGUAAAGGCCUACCAAGGCGACGAUCCGUAACUGGACUGAGAGGAUGAUCAGUCACACUGGAACUGAGACACGGUCCAGACUCCUACGGGAGGCAGCAGUGGGGAAUAUUGGACAAUGGGCGAAAGCCUGAUCCAGCCAUGCCGCGUGUGUGAAGAAGGUCUUCGGAUUGUAAAGCAGUUUAAGUUGGGAGGAAGGGCAGUAAGUUAAUACCUUGCUGUUUUGACGUUACCAACAGAAUAAGCACCGGCUAACUUCGUG
RNAcentral lists this ribosomal RNA (484 nucleotides) under uncultured bacterium. RNAcentral describes it as "partial 16S ribosomal RNA". It matches the Rfam family "Bacterial small subunit ribosomal RNA", at positions 30 to 507 of the family's 1533-position model. The record is from RNAcentral.